GAUGAAGAACGUAGCGAAAUGCGAUACGUAAUGUGAAUUGCAGAAUUCAGUGAAUCAUCGAAUCUUUGAACGCAUAUUGCGCUCUCUGGUAUUCCGGAGAGCAUGCUUGUUUGAGUAUCAGUAAACACCUCAACUCCCUUUUCUUUUUUGAAAUUGGAGCUGGACUUGAGUGAUCCCAACGCUUUCUUCCAAGAAAGUGGCGGGUUGCUUGAAAUGCAGGUGCAGCUGAACUUUUCUCUGAGCUAUAAGCAUAUCUAUUUAGUCUGCCUAAAAAACAGAUUAUUACCUUUGCUGCAGCUACCAUAAAGGAGACUAGUUCUUGUGCUGACUGAUGCAGGAUUCACAGAGACAGCUUCGGCUGACUUUGUAAACUCGAUCUCAAAUCAAGUAAGACUACCCGCUGAACUUAAGCAUAUCAAUAAGCGGAGGA
This 430-nucleotide unclassified non-coding RNA is filed under the name soil metagenome. RNAcentral describes it as "partial contains 5.8S ribosomal RNA, internal transcribed spacer 2, and large subunit ribosomal RNA". The stretch from base 1 to 120 matches the Rfam family "5.8S ribosomal RNA", at positions 35 to 154 of the family's 154-position model. The record is from RNAcentral.